GGGGGUUCCUUCCUUGGAGUGUUUCUAGAGCUCGGAGGCUGCUGGUAGGGGGGCACCACUUUCAGAUAAAAACAUAGACCUGAAUGGCAUCAUCCAGUAUCCAAGGAAACCAUUGUGUCUGUAACCAGCUAAUGAGCUGCAACAGAGCCUGGCCUUCAUUUUCAGCAAAUUAAGUUCAUCCCUCAUAGGAAUUGUGGUCUGGCUGUGGCACCGCUCCUAGGUGAACAACAAAGAAGACUUGGAAACUCAGUGAUCAGGGAUUGGAAAUGAUGGUGAUGGUAAGUGGAAUAUCAUUGAUGCUGAACAUUCAAACCUCACUGAUGUCAGAAAAGACAUGACAAACUCCAAAAGGAAACCCAAGCAGCUAUUUGGCUCCCUUAAUUAAUGAAGUCGCCCAGUAUGGAUAAUUCAGGUUCUCUAAACAUGAAUAUGCCUUUGGGGGAAGACAGAAGAACAUGGAAGCCAUGUGAAAAAAACGGAUCCUAAGCAAAGGCCUCUCUCCUACGGUCCUUCAGUGAGCAAAACUUCUCCUGACUUCAUGAGAAGUGGAAGAACUCAGAGUAGCUCACAUGGCCUCAGAACACUCGCUUAAGAAUGCAUUUCUUCUCAUUGCCCUUAAAUAGAGCUGCUUCCUGCUCAAGAGGCAGAAAUCUGCUGGCCCAUGCUGUUGUGGCCUGGCCUUGCCCUGUUAGUGGUGAUCUGUGGGAAGAGAAGGAGACAAAUUGUGACACUGUCCCUUAUCAAAGGACCACACAGUUGUUCGCCACGUUGACUCCAUGAUGGAUAGUUAUCUUGAGGCUUGAUGGACAUAAGGCUAAAAGUUCAGAGAAAAAGAGUGCAGGAUCCCAGUAGCUCCUUGCUAUUGACACUUACUUGAUAAUGUGAAGAGAUUUUAAGUGUAAGAGCACUGUUCAUUGUGUACAAAUACAAAGCAUUCUUAUUGUUGGGCAUUAUCAGUACACAUACACUACACUGUGUAGAUAAUUUUAGUCAUAAUGAAUAUAGCAUUUCAUUUAUUAGAUUGAGAGGUUUUUUCAACUAAAAAUAGAGUCUCUUUGUCUUCGCCUUAAGCACAUCCAAGCUCAGUAGCACACAUUGUAAUCAAGCUCAGUGUUGUAAAGAAUGAAAAAUAUUGAAAGGUGAAUGUAACUGCUAAUAUUUCAUGCAACACUUGCCCUUUGUAAUAGCACUUGGCCACCCACAUCA
This 1206-nucleotide long non-coding RNA is filed under the name Homo sapiens (human). Its description in RNAcentral is "MEF2C antisense RNA 1". Lineage: Eukaryota; Metazoa; Chordata; Mammalia; Primates; Hominidae. The record is from RNAcentral.